RNAcentral lists this non-coding RNA (149 nucleotides) under chicken gut metagenome. RNAcentral's name for it is "glmS glucosamine-6-phosphate activated ribozyme". It matches the Rfam family "glmS glucosamine-6-phosphate activated ribozyme aptamer", at positions 7 to 156 of the family's 167-position model. Rfam says of the family: This entry contains a glucosamine-6-phosphate activated ribozyme that is found in the mRNA for GlmS. GlmS is an enzyme that uses fructose-6-phosphate and glutamine to generate glucosamine-6-phosphate. The record is from RNAcentral.
UUUAAAGCGCCCGAUCUGCAUAAUGCAGAUGACGAGGAGGAAGGUUGGCGAAAGCCUAAAAUCGAAAGUUCGGCGGAUGCCUUCUGCCGUCGCUGUCCCGGCAAAAGCACCGUACAAAUCCCUCGGGUGACCGGGGGGACAAAGACGGA